RNAcentral lists this ribosomal RNA (494 nucleotides) under uncultured bacterium. RNAcentral describes it as "partial 16S ribosomal RNA". It matches the Rfam family "Bacterial small subunit ribosomal RNA", at positions 28 to 507 of the family's 1533-position model. The record is from RNAcentral.
GACGAACGCUGGCGGCGCGCUUAACACAUGCAAGUCGAACGGAAAGGCCUGUCCUUCCUUGUGUUGGACGGGUACUCGAGUGGCGAACGGGUGAGUAACACGUGAGUGAUCUGCCCCCAACUUGGGUAUAAGCCUGGGAAACUGGGUCUAAUUCCCGAUAGGACUGCAGGGUGGUGCCUGUGGUGGAAAACGAUUUUCUAGUGGUUGGGGAUGAGCUCGCGGCCUAUCAGCUUGUUGGUGGGGUAAUGGCCUACCAAGGCGGCGACGGGUAGCCGGCCUGAGAGGGUGGACGGCCACAUUGGGACUGAGAUACGGCCCAGACUCCUACGGGAGGCAGCAGUGGGGAAUAUUGCACAAUGGGCGGAAGCCUGAUGCAGCGACGCCGCGUGGGGGAUGACGGCCUUCGGGUUGUAAACUCCUUUCGACCGCGAGGAAGCCGCCUGGUUGGAAGGGUGGUGACGGUAGUGGUAGAAGAAGCACCGGCUAACUACGUG